This 986-nucleotide ribosomal RNA is filed under the name Psychrobacter celer. RNAcentral's name for it is "bacterial SSU rRNA". It matches the Rfam family "Bacterial small subunit ribosomal RNA", at positions 530 to 1518 of the family's 1533-position model. Lineage: Bacteria; Pseudomonadati; Pseudomonadota; Gammaproteobacteria; Moraxellales; Moraxellaceae. The record is from RNAcentral.
GGGGGGGACCACUAUCGUGAUUCUGGGGCGUAAAGCGAGCGUAGGUGGCUUGAUAAGUCAGAUGUGAAAUCCCCGGGCUUAACCUGGGAACUGCAUCUGAUACUGUUAAGCUAGAGUAGGUGAGAGGGAAGUAGAAUUCCAGGUGUAGCGGUGAAAUGCGUAGAGAUCUGGAGGAAUACCGAUGGCGAAGGCAGCUUCCUGGCAUCAUACUGACACUGAGGCUCGAAAGCGUGGGUAGCAAACAGGAUUAGAUACCCUGGUAGUCCACGCCGUAAACGAUGUCUACUAGUCGUUGGGUCCCUUGAGGACUUAGUGACGCAGCUAACGCAAUAAGUAGACCGCCUGGGGAGUACGGCCGCAAGGUUAAAACUCAAAUGAAUUGACGGGGGCCCGCACAAGCGGUGGAGCAUGUGGUUUAAUUCGAUGCAACGCGAAGAACCUUACCUGGUCUUGACAUACACAGAAUCUUGUAGAGAUACGAGAGUGCCUUCGGGAAUUGUGAUACAGGUGCUGCAUGGCUGUCGUCAGCUCGUGUCGUGAGAUGUUGGGUUAAGUCCCGCAACGAGCGCAACCCUUGUCCUUAGUUACCAGCGGGUUAAGCCGGGAACUCUAAGGAUACUGCCAGUGACAAACUGGAGGAAGGCGGGGACGACGUCAAGUCAUCAUGGCCCUUACGACCAGGGCUACACACGUGCUACAAUGGUAGGUACAGAGGGCAGCUACACAGCGAUGUGAUGCGAAUCUCAAAAAGCCUAUCGUAGUCCAGAUUGGAGUCUGCAACUCGACUCCAUGAAGUAGGAAUCGCUAGUAAUCGCGGAUCAGAAUGCCGCGGUGAAUACGUUCCCGGGCCUUGUACACACCGCCCGUCACACCAUGGGAGUUGAUUGCACCAGAAGUGGUUAGCCUAACUUAGUGAGGGCGAUCACCACGGUGUGGUUGAUGACUGGGGUGAAUCUAGAGGGGAGGCCUCUCAUAUAAAUUGGGGG